AGGCAAAUCCGCUUUGAUAAUGCUGGGAUGUGAUGGGGAGCGAAAUUUAGUAGCGAAGUAGCUGAUUUCACACUGUCAAGAAAAGUCUCUAUCGAGGUUAAAGGUACCCGUACCGCAAACCGACACAGGUGGGUGAGGAGAGUAUCCUAAGGCCAGCGAGAGAACUGUUGUUAAGGAACUCGGCAAAAUGACCCCGUAACUUAGGGAUAAGGGGUGCCACCAUCCGGUGGCCGCAGAGAAUAGGCCCAAGCGACUGUUUACCAAAAACAUAGGUUUCUGCUAAGUCGCAAGACGAUGUAUAGGAGCUGACGCCUGCCCGGUGCUGGAAGGUUAAGGGGAUCUGUUAGAGCAAUCGAAGCAGUGAACUUAAGCCCCAGUAAACGGCGGCCGUAACUAUAACGGUCCUAAGGUAGCGAAAUUCCUUGUCGGGUAAGUUCCGACCCGCACGAAAGGCGUAACGAUUUGGGCACUGUCUCAACAACAGACUCGGUGAAAUUGUAAUUCCGGUGAAGAUGCCGGAUACCUGCGACAGGACGGAAAGACCCCAUGGAGCUUUACUGUAGCUUGACAUUGGGUCUUGGUACUACAUGUACAGGAUAGGUGGGAGGCUUUGAAACCAGGACGCCAGUUUUGGCGGAGCCAUCCUUGGGAUACCACCCUUGUAGUACUGGGACUCUAACCAUAGGCCAUGAAUCUGGUCUUGGGACACUGUCAGGUGGGCAGUUUGACUGGGGCGGUCGCCUCCCAAAAGGUAACGGAGGCGCUCAAAGGUUCUCUCAGUACGGUCGGAAAUCGUACGUAGAGUGUAAAGGCAAAAGAGAGCUUGAUUGCAAGACAUACAGGUCGAGCAAGGAUGAAAAUCGGACUUAGUGAUCCGGUGGUUCUGCGUGGAAGGGCCAUCGCUCAACGGAUAAAAGCUACCCUGGGGAUAACAGGCUUAUCUCCCCCAAGAGUCCACAUCGACGGGGAGGUUUGGCACCUCGAUGUCGGCUCAUCACAUCCUGGGGCUGUAGUAGGUCCCAAGGGUUGGGCUGUUCGCCCAUUAAAGUGGUACGCGAGCUGGGUUCAGAACGUCGUGAGACAGUUCGGUCCCUAUCCGUCGCAGGCGUAGGAAAUUUGAGAAGACCUGUCCUUAGUACGAGAGGACCGGGAUGGACGUACCUCUGGUGUACCAGUUGU
This 1179-nucleotide ribosomal RNA is filed under the name Clostridioides difficile. RNAcentral's name for it is "partial 23S ribosomal RNA". It matches the Rfam family "Bacterial large subunit ribosomal RNA", at positions 1534 to 2724 of the family's 2925-position model. The record is from RNAcentral. Lineage: Bacteria; Bacillati; Bacillota; Clostridia; Peptostreptococcales; Peptostreptococcaceae.